GGAGGAAUACCCAAGCGGCUGAAGGGGUCGGUCUCGAAAACCGAUAGGAGCGCAAGCUCGCGCAGGUUCAAAUCCUGCUUCCUCCGCCA
This 89-nucleotide transfer RNA is filed under the name Erysipelothrix sp. RNAcentral's name for it is "tRNA-Ser". It matches the Rfam family "tRNA". Rfam says of the family: Transfer RNA (tRNA) molecules are approximately 80 nucleotides in length. The record is from RNAcentral. Lineage: Bacteria; Bacillati; Bacillota; Erysipelotrichia; Erysipelotrichales; Erysipelotrichaceae.